RNAcentral lists this unclassified non-coding RNA (263 nucleotides) under plant metagenome. RNAcentral's name for it is "partial contains small subunit ribosomal RNA, internal transcribed spacer 1, and 5.8S ribosomal RNA". The record is from RNAcentral.
UUUCCGUAGGUGAACCUGCGGAAGGAUCAUUAUUGUAUAACCGAGGUGCGAGGGCUGUCGCUGACCCGAAAGGUCGUGCACGCCCCAGUGCCCUCACACACAUCCAUCUCACCCCUAUGUGCACCACCGCGUGGGUCCCCCUUUGGCUUGUUCGGAGGGAAGCUUACGUUUUCACACAAACUUUGUAUGCAGUGUAGAAUGUAUUUUUUGUUUUUGCGAUCACGCAAUCAAUACAACUUUCAACAACGGAUCUCUUGGCUCUC